AUCUAGUAGUAUGGAAUAGCCAUUAGAAAUGAUGGGUAAUACUGUAUAAUCCCUGCGGGGGAAAGAUUUAUCGCUAUUAGAUGAGCCUACGUUAGAUUAGCUAGUGGGUAAGGUAAUGGCUUACCAAGGCUAUGAUCUAUAGCUGGUCUGAGAGGACGAUCAGCCACACUGGAACUGAGAUACGGUCCAGACUCCUACGGGAGGCAGCAGUGGGGAAUAUUGGACAAUGGGCGAAAGCCUGAUCCAGCUAUGCCGCGUGAGGGAAGAAGGCCUUCGGGUCGUAAAACUCUUUCAAUAGGGAAGA
This 304-nucleotide ribosomal RNA is filed under the name Ehrlichia chaffeensis. Its description in RNAcentral is "bacterial SSU rRNA". It matches the Rfam family "Bacterial small subunit ribosomal RNA", at positions 128 to 448 of the family's 1533-position model. Lineage: Bacteria; Pseudomonadati; Pseudomonadota; Alphaproteobacteria; Rickettsiales; Anaplasmataceae. The record is from RNAcentral.